ACGACCUUAAGCAAGAUAUGUUUUAUAGGCUCGUACAAUUGUAUUCUUGAGUGUUAAGGAGACAUGCAACACAAUCUGAUUGGUGACAUAAGAUCUCAAGAUUAGAGAAUGAUUAAUGGCUUAGGUCCUUUAGGGCUGGUGGCUGUAGCGGAUUAUUCUUGUUAGAUCCUGUAUCUGCUAGAGUACUCUUAAGAUUGUGUGAUGAACA
Molecule: small nucleolar RNA, 208 nt
Organism: Zingiber officinale
Lineage: Eukaryota; Viridiplantae; Streptophyta; Magnoliopsida; Zingiberales; Zingiberaceae
Product: small nucleolar RNA U3
Exons: 1
Source: RefSeq, a predicted model, not a curated record